CCUACGGGAGGCAGCAGUGAGGAAUAUUGGUCAAUGGCCGGAAGGCUGAACCAGCCAUGCCGCGUGAAGGUCAGUGCCCUAUGGGCGUUAAACUUCUUUUGUGCGGGAGCAAUAAUGGUCACGUGUGGCCAGACGAGAGUACCGUACGAAUAAGCAUCGGCUAACGCCGUGCCAGCAGCCGCGGUAAUGCGGGGGAUGCAAGCGUUAUCCGGCUUUAUUGGGUUUAAAGGGUGCGUAGGCUGUGAGGUAAGUCAGCGGGGAAAUGCCCCCGCUCAACGGGGUGAAGUGACAUUGAUACUGGCUUGCUGGAAUGCGGAUGCGGUGGGAGGAAUGUGUGGUGUAGCGGUGAAAUGCAUAGAUAUCACGCAGAACACCGAUUGCGAAGGCAUCUCACGAAUCCGCGAUUGACGCUGAUGCACGAAAGCGUGGGUAUCAAACAGGAUUAGAUACCCCUGUAGUC
This 460-nucleotide ribosomal RNA is filed under the name uncultured bacterium. Its description in RNAcentral is "partial 16S ribosomal RNA". It matches the Rfam family "Bacterial small subunit ribosomal RNA", at positions 338 to 795 of the family's 1533-position model. The record is from RNAcentral.